UGAGGAAUAUUGGGCAAUGCCCGCAAGGGUGACCCAGCAACGCCGCGUGGAGGAUGAAUGUCGUAAGAUUGUAAACUCCUGUUAGAGGGGAAGAAUAGUACCGGUUGGACCGGUAUAUGACUGUACCCUCAGAGAAAGCCCCGGCUAACUACGUGCCAGCAGCCGCGGUAAUACGUAGGGGGCAAGCGUUGUCCGGAUUUACUGGGUGUAAAGGGCGCGUAGGCGGCAAUUAAAGUCAGCUGUGAAAUCUCUGGGCUUAACCCGGAACGGCCAGCUGAUACUGCUGUGCUAGAGUGCGGAAGGGGCAAUCGGAAUUCUUGGUGUAGCGGUAAAAUGCGUAGAUAUCAAGAGGAACACCUGAGGUGAAGACGGGUUGCUGGGCCGACACUGACGCUGAGGCGCGAAAGCCAGG
RNAcentral lists this ribosomal RNA (412 nucleotides) under uncultured bacterium. RNAcentral's name for it is "bacterial SSU rRNA". It matches the Rfam family "Bacterial small subunit ribosomal RNA", at positions 355 to 764 of the family's 1533-position model. The record is from RNAcentral.